CAGAGGCUGCGAUGUAGACCGAGUCCCGGAGUGCAGCCCGUGCGAGCCUGGCUCCUUCUCGGCCCCCUGCAACCAGGAGACCUCGUGCCUGCCAUGUGCUGAAUGCCAGGAGGGUGAGUGGGCUCAG
Long non-coding RNA from Phyllostomus discolor (pale spear-nosed bat), 127 nucleotides. RefSeq lists it as uncharacterized. The transcript is spliced from 3 exons. Lineage: Eukaryota; Metazoa; Chordata; Mammalia; Chiroptera; Phyllostomidae. The record is from RefSeq and is a predicted model, not a curated record.